GAUGAACGCUGACAGCAUGCUUAACACAUGCGAGUCGAUGGGGAAGUGGUGCUUGCACCAUGGCAACCAUGGCGGACGGGUGAGUAACGCGUAAGGGACUUACCUGCAGGACUGGGAUAACAGGGGGAAACUCCUGACAAGACCGGAUAAUGUCAUGGAGCUGCAUGGCUUUAUGAUGAAAGGAGACGCCUGCGGAGAGCCUUGCGUCCUAUUAGCUAGUUGGUGAGGUAAUGGCUCACCAAGGCGAAGAUAGGUAGCCGGCCUGAGAGGGUGGACGGCCACAAGGGGACUGAGAUACGGCCCUUACUCCUACGGGAGGCAGCAGUGGGGAAUAUUGGACAAUGGGGGCAACCCUGAUCCAGCAAUUCUGUGUGCACGAAGAAGGUUUUCGGAGUGUAAAGUGCUUUCAGCAGGGAAGAAGUAAGUGACGGUACCUGCAGAAGAAGCGACGGCUAAAUACGUG
RNAcentral lists this ribosomal RNA (463 nucleotides) under uncultured bacterium. RNAcentral describes it as "partial 16S ribosomal RNA". It matches the Rfam family "Bacterial small subunit ribosomal RNA", at positions 28 to 507 of the family's 1533-position model. The record is from RNAcentral.